This 70-nucleotide transfer RNA is filed under the name human gut metagenome. It matches the Rfam family "tRNA". From Rfam's summary of the family: Transfer RNA (tRNA) molecules are approximately 80 nucleotides in length. RNAcentral also lists the same sequence under 2 other names. The record is from RNAcentral.
GCGGGGUAGCUCAGCUGGUUAGAGCGUCGGAUUCAUAAUCCGGAGGUCGCGGGAUCGUGCCCCGCCCCCG